RNAcentral lists this ribosomal RNA (500 nucleotides) under uncultured bacterium. RNAcentral describes it as "partial 16S ribosomal RNA". It matches the Rfam family "Bacterial small subunit ribosomal RNA", at positions 30 to 523 of the family's 1533-position model. The record is from RNAcentral.
AUUGAACGCUGGCGGCAUGCCUUACACAUGCAAGUCGAACGGCAGCACGGGAGCAAUCCUGGUGGCGAGUGGCGAACGGGUGAGUAAUAUAUCGGAACGUGCCCAGUCGUGGGGGAUAACGCAGCGAAAGCUGUGCUAAUACCGCAUACGAUCUAUGGAUGAAAGCGGGGGAUCGCAAGACCUCGCGCGAUUGGAGCGGCCGAUAUCAGAUUAGCUAGUUGGUGGGGUAAAAGCCCACCAAGGCGACGAUCUGUAGCUGGUCUGAGAGGACGACCAGCCACACUGGAACUGAGACACGGUCCAGACUCCUACGGGAGGCAGCAGUGGGGAAUUUUGGACAAUGGGCGCAAGCCUGAUCCAGCAAUGCCGCGUGCAGGAUGAAGGCCUUCGGGUUGUAAACUGCUUUUGUACGGAACGAAACGGCGAGCUCUAAUACAGUUUGCUAAUGACGGUACCGUAAGAAUAAGCACCGGCUAACUACGUACCAGCCGCCGCGGUAA